RNAcentral lists this ribosomal RNA (240 nucleotides) under uncultured Lactobacillus sp. Its description in RNAcentral is "partial 16S ribosomal RNA". It matches the Rfam family "Bacterial small subunit ribosomal RNA", at positions 122 to 355 of the family's 1533-position model. Lineage: Bacteria; Bacillati; Bacillota; Bacilli; Lactobacillales; Lactobacillaceae. The record is from RNAcentral.
UAACCUGCCCAAGAGAUCGGGAUAACACCUGGAAACAGAUGCUAAUACCGGAUAACAACAGAUGAUGCCUAUCAACUGUUUAAAAGAUGGUUCUGCUAUCACUCUUGGAUGGACCUGCGGCGCAUUAGCUAGUUUGGUAGGUAACGGCCUACCAAGGCGAUGAUGCAUAGCCGAGUUGAGAGACUGAUCGGCCACAUUGGGACUGAGACACGGCCCAAACUCCUACGGGAGGCAGCAGCC